RNAcentral lists this ribosomal RNA (253 nucleotides) under uncultured bacterium. RNAcentral describes it as "partial 16S ribosomal RNA". It matches the Rfam family "Bacterial small subunit ribosomal RNA", at positions 524 to 776 of the family's 1533-position model. The record is from RNAcentral.
UACAGAGGUCUCAAGCGUUGUUCGGAUUCAUUGGGCGUAAAGGGUGCGUAGGCGGCGCGGUAAGUCGGCUGUGAAAUCUCGGAGCUUAACUCCGAAACUGCAUUCGAUACUGCCGUGCUUGAGGACUGGAGAGGAGACUGGAAUUUACGGUGUAGCGGUGAAAUGCGUAGAUAUCGUAAGGAAGACCAGUGGCGAAGGCGGGUCUCUGGACAGUUCCUGACGCUGAGGCACGAAGGUCAGGGGAGCAAACGGG